This 65-nucleotide transfer RNA is filed under the name Diatrichalus sinuaticollis. RNAcentral describes it as "tRNA-Phe". The record is from RNAcentral. Lineage: Eukaryota; Metazoa; Arthropoda; Insecta; Coleoptera; Lycidae.
UUUUAAUAGCUUAUAAUAAAGUAUAAUAUUGAAGAUAUUAUGAAGAUAGUUUUAUCUUAAAAUAU